UACAGGGGGGGCAAGCGUUGUUCGGAAUUACUGGGCGUAAAGGGCUCGUAGGCGGCCAUCUAAGUCAGACGUGAAAUCCCCCGGCUUAACCUGGGAACUGCGUCUGAUACUGGACGGCUCGAGUAUGGGAGAGGGAUGUAGAAUUCCAGGUGUAGCGGUGAAAUGCGUAGAUAUCUGGAGGAAUACCGGUGGCGAAGGCGGCAUCCUGGACCAUUUACUGACGCUGAGGCGCGAAAGCUAGGGGAGCAAACGGG
Molecule: ribosomal RNA, 254 nt
Filed under: uncultured bacterium
Lineage: Bacteria
Description: partial 16S ribosomal RNA
Rfam family: Bacterial small subunit ribosomal RNA
Source: RNAcentral